UACGUAGGGUGCGAGCGUUAAUCGGAAUUACUGGGCGUAAAGCGUGCGCAGGCGGUUUUGUAAGCCAGAUGUGAAAUCCCCGGGCUUAACCUGGGAAUGGCAUUUGGGACUGCAAGGCUGGAGUGCGGCAGAGGAGACUGGAAUUCCUGGUGUAGCAGUGAAAUGCGCAGAUAUCAGGAGGAACACCAAUAGCGAAGGCAGCUCGCUGGGACGGUACUGACGCUAAGGCGCGAAAGCGUGGGGAGCGAACAGG
RNAcentral lists this ribosomal RNA (253 nucleotides) under uncultured bacterium. Its description in RNAcentral is "partial 16S ribosomal RNA". It matches the Rfam family "Bacterial small subunit ribosomal RNA", at positions 524 to 776 of the family's 1533-position model. The record is from RNAcentral.